This 389-nucleotide ribosomal RNA is filed under the name uncultured bacterium. Its description in RNAcentral is "bacterial SSU rRNA". It matches the Rfam family "Bacterial small subunit ribosomal RNA", at positions 28 to 419 of the family's 1533-position model. The record is from RNAcentral.
GACGAACGCUGGCGGCGUGCUUAACACAUGCAAGUCGAGCGGUAAGGCCCUUUCGGGGGUACACGAGCGGCGAACGGGUGAGUAACACGUGGGUGACCUGCCCUCAGCCCUGGGAUAAGCCUGGGAAACCGGGUCUAAUACCGGAUAUGACUCCAUGACGCAUGUUGUGGGGUGGAAAGCCUUGUGCGGCUGAGGAUGGGCCCGCGGCCUAUCAGCUUGUUGGUGGGGUGAUGGCCACCAAGGCGACGACGGGUAGCCGGCCUGAGAGGGCGACCGGCCACACUGGGACUGAGACACGGCCCAGACUCCUACGGGAGGCAGCAGUGGGGAAUCUUGCGCAAUGGGCGAAAGCCUGACGCAGCGACGCCGCGUGAGGGAUGACGGCCUGG